UAUAGCCAGCUCUGAUCUAAUCUGGCCCAGUGGAAUAACGAUUGACUUCUUAACUGACAAGUUGUAUUGGUGCGAUGCCAAGCAGUCUGUGAUUGAAAUGGCCAAUCUGGAUGGUUCAAAACGCCGAAGACUUACCCAGAAUGAUGUAGGAAGAAGCUAACAAACUAAUAAUCUGUGUAAGAUACCUAUUUUGCCCAUUCUCUUUGGCUCAAGAUAAGUAUAAUUUAAAAUUUUAUGUAUUUCUAAGAUUCUCUAAAAUCAAAGAUAUCCUUCACAAUAAGUGAUAUGCUUAUGCACAACCUUAGACUUUAUCAUCCAUUUACUUCAGGGGUGUUUAUUGACACAUUACAGGAACUGAAGAUACAGUGGAGGGUAAAACAAAUAUGAUAUCUGUAAAGCCAAGGAAUCUAGUGCAGAACACAUACAUUAUU
This 431-nucleotide small RNA is filed under the name Pongo abelii (Sumatran orangutan). RNAcentral's name for it is "processed transcript". Lineage: Eukaryota; Metazoa; Chordata; Mammalia; Primates; Hominidae. The record is from RNAcentral.